GACGAACGCUGGCGGCGUGCCUAAUACAUGCAAGUAGAACGCUGAAGGCGGAGAUUGCUUCUCUGGAUAAGUUGCGAACGGGUGAGUAACGCGUAGGUAACCUGCCUGGUAGCGGGGGAUAACUAUUGGAAACGAUAGCUAAUACCGCAUAAGAGUAGAUGUCGCAUGACAUUUGCUUAAAAGGUGCAAUUGCAUCACUACCAGAUGGAUCUGCGUUGUAUUUGCUAGUUGGUGAGGUAACGGCUCACCAAGGCAACGAUACAUAGCCGACCUGAGAGGGUGAUCGGCCACACUGGGACUGAGACACGGCCCAGACUCCUACGGGAGGCAGCAGUAGGGAAUCUUCGGCAAUGGACGGAAGACUGACCGAGCAACGCCGCGUGAGUGAAGAAGGUUUUCGGAGCGUAAAGCUCUGUUGUAAGAGAAGAACGAGUGUGAGAGGGGAAAGUUCACACUGUGACGGUAUCUUACCAGAAAGGGACGGCUAACUACGUG
RNAcentral lists this ribosomal RNA (495 nucleotides) under uncultured bacterium. RNAcentral's name for it is "partial 16S ribosomal RNA". It matches the Rfam family "Bacterial small subunit ribosomal RNA", at positions 28 to 507 of the family's 1533-position model. The record is from RNAcentral.